GCAAAGGCUCUUUUCAGAGCCACCCACGUUUUCAAGUAAAACGGCU
Bos taurus (domestic cattle) is the source of this 46-nucleotide non-coding RNA. The record is from Rfam. NCBI's taxonomy places the organism in Eukaryota, Metazoa, Chordata, Mammalia, Artiodactyla, Bovidae.